This 3042-nucleotide ribosomal RNA is filed under the name Salmonella enterica subsp. enterica serovar Enteritidis. Its description in RNAcentral is "23S ribosomal RNA". It matches the Rfam family "Bacterial large subunit ribosomal RNA". Lineage: Bacteria; Pseudomonadati; Pseudomonadota; Gammaproteobacteria; Enterobacterales; Enterobacteriaceae. The record is from RNAcentral.
UUAAGCGACUAAGCGUACACGGUGGAUGCCCUGGCAGUCAGAGGCGAUGAAGGGCGUGCUAAUCUGCGAUAAGCGCCGGUAAGGUGAUAUGAACCGUUAUAACCGGCGAUACCCGAAUGGGGAAACCCAGUGUGAUUCGUCACACUAUCAUUAACUGAAUCCAUAGGUUAAUGAGGCGAACCGGGGGAACUGAAACAUCUAAGUACCCCGAGGAAAAGAAAUCAACCGAGAUUCCCCCAGUAGCGGCGAGCGAACGGGGAGGAGCCCAGAGCCUGAAUCAGCAUGUGUGUUAGUGGAAGCGUCUGGAAAGGCGCGCGAUACAGGGUGACAGCCCCGUACACAAAAGCGCAUGUGCUGUGAGCUCGAUGAGUAGGGCGGGACACGUGGUAUCCUGUCUGAAUAUGGGGGGACCAUCCUCCAAGGCUAAAUACUCCUGACUGACCGAUAGUGAACCAGUACCGUGAGGGAAAGGCGAAAAGAACCCCGGCGAGGGGAGUGAAAAAGAACCUGAAACCGUGUACGUACAAGCAGUGGGAGCCCCACCACCAAAGCAUUUGCUGUACCGCGUUGACGGAGCGAAGCGACGUCAAACCGAUAAAACAGCAGUGUAAAGUGAGCCGCAGGGCGCUUUGCGCGACAGCGCAAAGGCAGGCGGUUUCGCGUAGCGAAAGCGAAUGCUUUGGGGUGGGGUGACUGCGUACCUUUUGUAUAAUGGGUCAGCGACUUAUAUUCUGUAGCAAGGUUAACCGAAUAGGGGAGCCGGAGGGAAACCGAGUCUUAAUUGGGCGUUAAGUUGCAGGGUAUAGACCCGAAACCCGGUGAUCUAGCCAUGGGCAGGUUGAAGGUUGGGUAACACUAACUGGAGGACCGAACCGACUAAUGUUGAAAAAUUAGCGGAUGACCUGUGGCUGGGGGUGAAAGGCCAAUCAAACCGGGAGAUAGCUGGUUCUCCCCGAAAGCUAUUUAGGUAGCGCCUCGUGAAUUCAUCUCCGGGGGUAGAGCACUGUUUCGGCUAGGGGGCCAUCCCGGCUUACCAACCCGAUGCAAACUGCGAAUACCGGAGAAUGUUAUCACGGGAGACACACGGCGGGUGCUAACGUCCGUCGUGAAGAGGGAAACAACCCAGACCGCCAGCUAAGGUCCCAAAGUCAUGGUUAAGUGGGAAACGAUGUGGGAAGGCCCAGACAGCCAGGAUGUUGGCUUAGAAGCAGCCAUCAUUUAAAGAAAGCGUAAUAGCUCACUGGUCGAGUCGGCCUGCGCGGAAGAUGUAACGGGGCUAAACCAUGCACCGAAGCUGCGGCAGCGACACUGUGUGUUGUUGGGUAGGGGAGCGUUCUGUAAGCCUGCGAAGGUGGCCUGUGAGGGUUGCUGGAGGUAUCAGAAGUGCGAAUGCUGACAUAAGUAACGAUAAAGCGGGUGAAAAGCCCGCUCGCCGGAAGACCAAGGGUUCCUGUCCAACGUUAAUCGGGGCAGGGUGAGUCGACCCCUAAGGCGAGGCCGAAAGGCGUAGUCGAUGGGAAACGGGUUAAUAUUCCCGUACUUGGUGUUACUGCGAAGGGGGGACGGAGAAGGCUAUGUUGGCCGGGCGACGGUUGUCCCGGUUUAAGCGUGUAGGUGUGUGUUCCAGGUAAAUCCGGUUCACUUUAACACUGAGGCGUGACGACGAGGCACUACGGUGCUGAAGCAACAAAUGCCCUGCUUCCAGGAAAAGCCUCUAAGCAUCAGGUAACAUCAAAUCGUACCCCAAACCGACACAGGUGGUCAGGUAGAGAAUACCAAGGCGCUUGAGAGAACUCGGGUGAAGGAACUAGGCAAAAUGGUGCCGUAACUUCGGGAGAAGGCACGCUGACACGUAGGUGAAGUGAUUUACUCAUGGAGCUGAAGUCAGUCGAAGAUACCAGCUGGCUGCAACUGUUUAUUAAAAACACAGCACUGUGCAAACACGAAAGUGGACGUAUACGGUGUGACGCCUGCCCGGUGCCGGAAGGUUAAUUGAUGGGGUCAGCGCAAGCGAAGCUCCUGAUCGAAGCCCCGGUAAACGGCGGCCGUAACUAUAACGGUCCUAAGGUAGCGAAAUUCCUUGUCGGGUAAGUUCCGACCUGCACGAAUGGCGUAAUGAUGGCCAGGCUGUCUCCACCCGAGACUCAGUGAAAUUGAACUCGCUGUGAAGAUGCAGUGUACCCGCGGCAAGACGGAAAGACCCCGUGAACCUUUACUAUAGCUUGACACUGAACAUUGAGCCUUGAUGUGUAGGAUAGGUGGGAGGCUUUGAAGUGUGGACGCCAGUCUGCAUGGAGCCGACCUUGAAAUACCACCCUUUAAUGUUUGAUGUUCUAACGUGGACCCGUUACCCGGGUUGCGGACAGUGUCUGGUGGGUAGUUUGACUGGGGCGGUCUCCUCCUAAAGAGUAACGGAGGAGCACGAAGGUUGGCUAAUCCUGGUCGGACAUCAGGAGGUUAGUGCAAUGGCAUAAGCCAGCUUGACUGCGAGCGUGACGGCGCGAGCAGGUGCGAAAGCAGGUCAUAGUGAUCCGGUGGUUCUGAAUGGAAGGGCCAUCGCUCAACGGAUAAAAGGUACUCCGGGGAUAACAGGCUGAUACCGCCCAAGAGUUCAUAUCGACGGCGGUGUUUGGCACCUCGAUGUCGGCUCAUCACAUCCUGGGGCUGAAGUAGGUCCCAAGGGUAUGGCUGUUCGCCAUUUAAAGUGGUACGCGAGCUGGGUUUAGAACGUCGUGAGACAGUUCGGUCCCUAUCUGCCGUGGGCGCUGGAGAACUGAGGGGGGCUGCUCCUAGUACGAGAGGACCGGAGUGGACGCAUCACUGGUGUUCGGGUUGUCAUGCCAAUGGCACUGCCCGGUAGCUAAAUGCGGAAGAGAUAAGUGCUGAAAGCAUCUAAGCACGAAACUUGCCCCGAGAUGAGUUCUCCCUGAGACUUAGAGUCUCCUGAAGGAACGUUGAAGACGACGACGUUGAUAGGCCGGGUGUGUAAGCGCAGCGAUGCGUUGAGCUAACCGGUACUAAUGAACCGUGAGGCUUAACCUU